CUGCUAUCGAAGUGGACUAAGGCAUGCUAGUUGAACGUCUUUAACAUGUUAAAGGCGUAGCAUACAGCUCAGUAACAUGUUGUCAACCUACCCUGAGGACGAGAAUAACCCCGGGAAACUGGGAUUAAUACACGAUAGAUCAAGAUACCUGGAACGGAUUUUGAUCUAAAAAAGGGAUAAGCAUGUUUAUCAACUUGCCUCAGGAUGGGACUGCAUCCGAUCAGGUUGUUGGUGGAAUAAAAGCCCACCAAGCCUAUAACCGGUACGGGCUUUGAAAGAAGGAGCCCGGAGAUGGACACUGAGACAAGGUUCCAGGUCCUACGGGACGCAGCAGGCGCGAAACCUUCGCAAUGCACGAAAGUGCGACGAGGCUACUUCGAGUGCCAUCCGCUGAGGAUGGCUUUUGCCAAGUUUAAACCGCUUGGAGAAUAAGGGGAGGGCAAGUCUGGUGUCAGCCGCCGCGGUAAUACCAGCUCCUCGAGUGGUCGGGACGAUUAUUGGGCCUAAAGCAUCCGUAGCCUGUUCCGUAGGUCUUCUGUUAAAUUCAACGGCUUAACCGUUGAGCCGCAGGAGAUACCACGGGGCUAGGAGGCGGGAGAGGUAGACGGUACUCCAUGGGUAGGGGUAAAAUCCUCUGAUCCAUGGAAGACCACCAGUGGCGAAGGCGGUCUACCAGAACGCGCUCGACGGUGAGGGAUGAAAGCUGGGGGAGCGAACCGGAUUAGAUACCCGGGUAGUCCCAGCUGUAACCGAUGCGAGCUAGGUGAUGGAGUGGUUUCGAACCAUUCCAGUGCCGCAGGGAAGCCGUUAAGCUCGCCGCCUGGGGAGUACGGUCGCAAGACUGAAACUUAAAGGAAUUGGCGGGGGAGCACCACAAGGGGUGAAGCCUGCGGUUCAAUUGGAGUCAACGCCGGG
Molecule: ribosomal RNA, 915 nt
Filed under: uncultured archaeon
Lineage: Archaea
Description: bacterial SSU rRNA
Rfam family: Archaeal small subunit ribosomal RNA
Source: RNAcentral